GUGGGGAAUAUUGCACAAUGGGCGAAAGCCUGAUGCAGCGACGCCGCGUGAAGGAUGAAGUAUUUCGGUAUGUAAACUUCUAUCAGCAGGGAAGAAAAUGACGGUACCUGACUAAGAAGCCCCGGCUAACUACGUGCCAGCAGCCGCGGUAAUACGUAGGGGGCAAGCGUUAUCCGGAUUUACUGGGUGUAAAGGGAGCGUAGACGGCAUUGCAAGCCAGAUGUGAAAGCCCGGGGCUCAACCCCGGGACUGCAUUUGGAACUGCAGGGCUGGAGUGUCGGAGAGGCAAGUGGAAUUCCUAGUGUAGCGGUGAAAUGCGUAGAUAUUAGGAGGAACACCAGUGGCGAAGGCGGCUUGCUGGACGACAACUGACGCUGAGGCGCGAAAGCGUGGGGAGCAAACAGG
RNAcentral lists this ribosomal RNA (405 nucleotides) under uncultured bacterium. Its description in RNAcentral is "bacterial SSU rRNA". It matches the Rfam family "Bacterial small subunit ribosomal RNA", at positions 354 to 776 of the family's 1533-position model. The record is from RNAcentral.